Molecule: long non-coding RNA, 306 nt
Filed under: Homo sapiens (human)
Lineage: Eukaryota; Metazoa; Chordata; Mammalia; Primates; Hominidae
Description: non-protein coding lnc-ZNF680-9:2
Source: RNAcentral
UUUCCCUUAUUUCUUUUAGGGGAAUCUGGAUUGGGAAAGUCGACAUUAAUCAACUCAUUAUUCCUCACAGAUUUGUAUUCUCCAGAGUACCCAGGUCCUUCUCAUAGAACUAAAAAGACUGUACAGGUAUGCCCCCUAGCUAUUAACAGAAGCAAACUCUUGCUGUUUAUUUAUGACAGAACACACAUGCAGGACUUGAAAGAUGUUACUAACAAUGUCCACUGCGAGAACUAUGGAAGCAGAAAACUGGCAGCUGUGACUUACAAUGGAGUUGAUAACAACAAGAAUAAAGGGCAGCUGACUAAG